Non-coding RNA from Rattus norvegicus (Norway rat), 69 nucleotides. NCBI's taxonomy places the organism in Eukaryota, Metazoa, Chordata, Mammalia, Rodentia, Muridae. The record is from Rfam.
GGGGAUUUAGCUCAGUGGUAGAGCGCUUGCCUAGCAAGCACAAGGCCCUGGGUUUGGGCCCCAGCUCCG